RNAcentral lists this long non-coding RNA (332 nucleotides) under Homo sapiens (human). RNAcentral's name for it is "non-protein coding lnc-CYP3A43-1:2". The record is from RNAcentral. Lineage: Eukaryota; Metazoa; Chordata; Mammalia; Primates; Hominidae.
GUUUCAGGGAAUUAUCUAUAUCCCUUAAGUGGAUUUUCGAUCUUGUGUUUCUGAGGGCAAGCAGUUAAGAAGGGAAGAUGAACAUAAAGUAGGGAAGAGCAAAAAUGAGUUGGAACCUAAGACACGAGCUGGUCAUUCUUUCACUGUCUCCAACUUUAAAGAUAUGAGUAUCCUUGCUAGAGGAGCUGACACUUUUUGCCACAGGACUAGACACACACACAGCUCAGGAAUCAAAAAAGGUGAAGGAAGACUCAGGGAAAAGCUUCUGCCCCAUCCCAACAAGGUGAACCAGCUGAUUGGUGACAAAGUAGAUGAGCCGCAGUAGCACCUAG